Molecule: ribosomal RNA, 321 nt
Filed under: uncultured eukaryote
Lineage: Eukaryota
Description: LSU rRNA
Rfam family: Bacterial large subunit ribosomal RNA
Source: RNAcentral
GUUGAACCUUUUCUUCCGGGAAAGGGGGAGUCAUCAGUGAGAUACCACUCUUGGUAAGCUAGAGCGCUCAUUUUUAACCGUUAUCCGGUAAAAAGACAGUUUCAGGCGGGCAGUUUGACUGGGGCAGUCACCUCCCAAAAGGUAAUGGAGGUGUACAAAGGUUCUCUCAGGCUGGACGGAAAUCAGCCAUAGAGUGUAAAAGCAUAAGAGAGCUUGACUGCGAGACGGACAUGUCAAGCAGAGACGAAAGUCGGUUUUAGUGAUCCGACGGUGCUGAGUGGAAAGGCCGUCGCUCAACGGAUAAAAGUUACUCUAGGGAUA